This is a regulatory RNA element of Prevotella sp. CAG:487, 105 nucleotides long. It matches the Rfam family "SAM-I/IV (S-adenosyl methionine) riboswitch aptamer". From Rfam's summary of the family: It is found upstream of a number of genes which code for proteins involved in methionine or cysteine biosynthesis. It has been found mostly in the order Actinomycetales. NCBI's taxonomy places the organism in Bacteria, Pseudomonadati, Bacteroidota, Bacteroidia, Bacteroidales, Prevotellaceae. The record is from Rfam.
GUAAAGCAUCAAGAGUACUUGAAUGUACACCAACCGAGCCUUAUAUAUUGUGGCCACGGUGGUAAAAUGAUGCGGAUUGUCUUAUAAUCAAAAAUAAACAAUAUG